CGUGUAGGCGGCUUGAUAAGUCAGAUGUGAAAGCCCUGGGCUCAACCCGGGAAGUGCAUUUGAAACUGUCCUGCUUGAGUAGGGAGAGGGAAGUGGAAUUCCUGGUGUAGAGGUGAAAUUCGUAGAUAUCAGGAGGAACACCGGUGGCGAAGGCGACUUCCUGGCCCUAUACUGACGCUGAGACGCGAGAGCGUGGGGAGCAAACAGGAUUAGAUACCCUGGUAGUCCACGCCGUAAACGAUGUUCACUAGGUGUUGGGGGUAUUGACCCCCCUCAGUGCCGGAGCUAACGCAUUAAGUGAACCGCCUGGGGAGUACGGUCGCAAGACUAAA
This 332-nucleotide ribosomal RNA is filed under the name uncultured bacterium. RNAcentral's name for it is "bacterial SSU rRNA". It matches the Rfam family "Bacterial small subunit ribosomal RNA", at positions 568 to 898 of the family's 1533-position model. The record is from RNAcentral.